Molecule: transfer RNA, 83 nt
Filed under: Staphylococcus caprae
Lineage: Bacteria; Bacillati; Bacillota; Bacilli; Caryophanales; Staphylococcaceae
Description: tRNA-Leu
Rfam family: tRNA
About the family: Transfer RNA (tRNA) molecules are approximately 80 nucleotides in length.
Source: RNAcentral
GCGGGUGUGGCGGAAUUGGCAGACGCACUAGACUUAGGAUCUAGCGCCUUCAUGGCGUGGGGGUUCGACUCCCUUCACCCGCA